This 440-nucleotide ribosomal RNA is filed under the name uncultured bacterium. RNAcentral describes it as "bacterial SSU rRNA". It matches the Rfam family "Bacterial small subunit ribosomal RNA", at positions 338 to 795 of the family's 1533-position model. The record is from RNAcentral.
CCUACGGGGUGCACCAGUGGGGAGUAUUGGACAAUGGGCGCAAGCCUGAUCCAGCAAUGCCGCGUGUGUGAAGAAGGUUUUCGGAUUGUAAAGCACUUUCAGCGGGGACGAUGAUGACGGUACCCGCAGAAGAAGCCCCGGCUAACUUCGUGCCAGCAGCCGCGGUAAUACGAAGGGGGCAAGCGUUGCUCGGAAUGACUGGGCGUAAAGGGCGCGUAGGCGGUUGUUACUGUCAGAUGUGAAAUUCCCGGGCUUAACCUGGGGGCUGCAUUUGAUACGUGACGACUAGAGUGCGAGAGAGGGUUGUGGAAUUCCCAGUGUAGAGAUGAAAUUCGUAGAUAUUGGGAAGAACACCGGUGGCGAAGGCGGCAACCUGGCUCAUGACUGACGCUGAGGCGCGAAAGCGUGGGGAGCAAACAGGAUUAGAUACCCCGGUAGUC